GGGUUGUGGCUCAGUGGCAGAGCGCUUGCCUGGCAUGUGUGAGGCCCUGGGUUCCAUCCUCAGCCCCA
RNAcentral lists this transfer RNA (68 nucleotides) under Marmota monax (woodchuck). RNAcentral describes it as "tRNA.Ala". The record is from RNAcentral. Lineage: Eukaryota; Metazoa; Chordata; Mammalia; Rodentia; Sciuridae.